UGGUCCGCUGCUGCCGCUCACAGCCACUCAUUCCACCGAGAGGGAGGAUUCUGACCAGGUAAAAUCCGCCGUUCAGGCCGUGGCCGGCGGCAAGACCGGAGCUGUAUAGCGCCGUCCAUCUCCGACGCUCUUCUCCGCCCGGAGCUGCCACGGUAGCCACACCCGUCUCCGGCGCUCUGCUCGCUCGCGUCAGGCGCGCUGCGCCACGCCCGGACGUGGCCUUGGCUGCUGGCGGCAAGACGGUGGCCGUCGCAGCUAGUGCUGCCCACCUCCAGCGCACCCAACGGCAGGCCAAGGUUCUGGCUGAACUUUGAUUCUAAGUAAGAUUGAGCUGAUGUCUCUUUACUAAAUCAACUCAUGAUGCUGAUGUAUAAUUGCUCUCCCUCUUUAUUUGUCAGCAACUAGAGCUCAAAAAGCUGCUAUUGUGCUUCAUUUGAUAGCAAGUGGAGCUAAAAAAUUCUGCUACUGUGCUUUAUUUAACAGCAAGUUGAGCUAAAGAAUUCUGUUAUUGUGCUUCAGUUGACAGCAAGUGGAGCUAAAAAAAUUCUGCUAUUGUGCUUCAUUUAACAGCAAGUAGAGCUAAAAAGUUAUGCUAUUGUGCUUCAUUUAACAGCAAGUAGAGCUCAAAAAUUCUGCUAUUAUGCUUCAUUUAACAGCAAGUAGAGCACAAUAAUUCUUCUAUUAUGCUUUAUGUAACAGCAAGAACAUUUGCACUUAUUUUAUAGCAAGAAGAGUUCUAAAAUUCAGCUAUUAAACAUAAACCACACAUAAGAGUAGAGGGAAUGGAUAUUUUGACAGUAGCAGAAACACGUAUCACACUACAAAACCACAAGUCCACACAUAACUAGUGAUUUGAACUAUUAAUAGUAACUAGUACACACUGACAGUAGCAUCCAAAAGGCAACUACAUCCACCAUAAGCUUUAGUAAUUCCCACUAGCUGUAAAGAAGGCCAUAAACCCAGUUUCUGAGCCUCUCCCUCUCCCAGUUCCUCCCACACUUCCUCUGCCAUUGCCUCUCCCUCUAACUGCAGUUGUGCUACCUCUAGGGACAUCAUUGUUAGUUGUUGAUGAACUUCUAGGAGGUAUAAACCUGGAUGUUGUAGCUUGAGAGCUUGCUGCAACUUGAGAGGGUGCAGCUUGAGAUCUUGCUGCAGAUUGAGACCUUGCUGCAACUUGAGAUCUUGUUGGGCCUGAAGCUCUAGCUGCUGCAGCCUUGCUUGUAGAUGCAUCUGUCUGUGCUUGCUGCAAGGAAAACAGAUCAGUCAAACAACAAUUGCACUUUUUUGUAAAAGACCAACACAGCAUGAAAAUAAAAUUACCUCUGUUUCCCUCACUUUUCUCCCUCUCUUCCCAAGAUAUGACUUUCUUUUCUUGGCGUUAUCUCCUUUCUUUUUACAGGAAGUUUUGUUGUGCCCCUGACCACCACAACUUCCACAUGUGAUCUGUAUGCCAUGCUUGCUCAGUUUCUUCCCCUUGGGUGCUUCCCCCUCUUCUCUCUUCCUAUCAUUGUUCUUUUUCCUGGCUCCUGGCAUGGCAAUGUAGCCAGGUGCUACUGGCCUAGGGUUUUGAGACAUAGGCCAGCUUUCUUCUCCUUCAACUGGUUGCAGGCAAUGCUCAUAUUUUUUUUUGAAAGUAUCAAUGUAGUAGCACUUGUCAAUGAAAUCCUCUACUUUUCUUCCACUCUUAUAGAUAGCACAAAUUGCAUGACAACAAGGAAGGCCUGCAAGCUGAAAGGAACCACAUGAGCAAGUCCAUUUCUCAAGGUUAACAGUGUACCUCCUACCUCUGCUAUUCAAAUGCUUCACCUCAAAACCAUCCUUUCCAUUCCAGAGCACCUCCAAGAACUGAGUUCUCUUGAUAUUGGCCUUAAUCUUCUUGAAGAUGUUUGGGCAAAUUAUGCCAUUCCACUUCUCACUCUUUGUUUUCUGCUCUUGAACUCUAACCAUCAAUUUUUUCCUAAUCUUUUCUUGCUGUGAAAUAAUGGGGUGGAACCUAGCUUCUAUGAUGGCAUUAUUAAAUGAUUCACAAGGGUUGUUGUCACCUGACUCACAAUUUGCUCCUUUUGGAAAGAAAGCCCUAGCCCAAUGCUUUGGGUCUGUCUUCAUGAUAUCUUUUGCACCUUCUGGAGUUGGUUGAGCAAGCUUGGCCUUGUUGU
Molecule: long non-coding RNA, 2156 nt
Filed under: Triticum aestivum (bread wheat)
Lineage: Eukaryota; Viridiplantae; Streptophyta; Magnoliopsida; Poales; Poaceae
Description: long non-coding RNA (TAES_LNC017799)
Source: RNAcentral